AGUGAACGCUGGCGGUAGGCCUAACACAUGCAAGUCGAACGGCAGCACAGUAAGAGCUUGCUCUUACGGGUGGCGAGUGGCGGACGGGUGAGGAAUACAUCGGAAUCUACUUUUUCGUGGGGGAUAACGUAGGGAAACUUACGCUAAUACCACAUACGACCUACGGGUGAAAGCAGGGGAUCUUCGGACCUUGCGCGAUUGAAUGAGCCGAUGUCGGAUUAGCUAGUUGGCGGGGUAAAGGCCCACCAAGGCGACGAUCCGUAGCUGGUCUGAGAGGAUGAUCAGCCACACUGGAACUGAGACACGGUCCAGACUCCUACGGGAGGCAGCAGUGGGGAAUAUUGGACAAUGGGCGCAAGCCUGAUCCAGCCAUACCACGUGGGUGAAGAAGGCCUUCGGGUUGUAAAGCCCUUUUGUUGGGAAAGAAAAGCAGCAGGUUAAUACCCCGCUGUUCUGACGGUACCCAAAGAAUAAGCACCGGCUAACUUCGUG
Molecule: ribosomal RNA, 492 nt
Filed under: uncultured bacterium
Lineage: Bacteria
Description: partial 16S ribosomal RNA
Rfam family: Bacterial small subunit ribosomal RNA
Source: RNAcentral